This is a long non-coding RNA of Papaver somniferum (opium poppy), 2230 nucleotides long. RefSeq lists it as uncharacterized. The record is from RefSeq and is a predicted model, not a curated record. The transcript has 4 exons. NCBI's taxonomy places the organism in Eukaryota, Viridiplantae, Streptophyta, Magnoliopsida, Ranunculales, Papaveraceae.
AGAAAAAAAAACACUAUUGGUCGGGUACACCACCCACUUCUAUUCGUUCAUCGACCAUCCACAACUGCUCCGUAUCUCUCCGGAACUUCAGAAAGAUGGAUGAUGUUAAAACUGCUUCAAAAAAUCAACUCUUCAGUUGUGGACACUCUUCAGGUAUGCGUCUUUUUUUUUUUAAUUUGGGGUUUUUCUCUCUCUGGGCAAUUUUUUUUUUCUGUUUGAAUUUGAUAAUUUACUGCAGGCGUACUUGGAGAGUGCUUAUGAGUUAUGAUUGCUUUAAUAGGAGAAGAAAGGUUGAGGAGAUUACCAAUUGUAUUGAACAUUGUAGUAUUCCUGUUAUGAAUGCUAAUCAAUUCGUCGGGACUGAUAUGGAUAAAUUUCUCAGAUCUUUUGGUUUGGCUCAUACUCUUCGUGGAUUUUGUGUGAAAAUUUAAAAUUUACACAAAUUUUGUAGAAGUUUUGAAUUUUUUUAUGUAAGAAUUUUUUUUUAUCAAUUCUUUUGUUUUAAAUUGGAAAAUGAAAUUCAAUAAAUAUCAUUCACCUGAAGCUUUUAUUUCGUAGUUGAUUGUAUCCCUCAUUUCUUUAGGUCUUCUGCGAUAUUGGUUACUAUGUUGUAACCCUAAAGAGUUUUGGUUAGACGAGAAGCAAAAACCCGUGCAUCAUGAAGAUUAAUAGUGUUAGCAUAACACAAGUUGUUGCGUGGGUGGGAUUCAAAUAUUACGCCGUUAUCAAAUAUAGAACGAGAACUCACAUGAUGAUUGGUUGUUCUAACCUACAGCUGCAUAGACCUGCAAAUCAGGAUAAGAUGAAGUUAUGCGAUAAAUGAAAAAUUAGAUCAUGGUUACCAAUUGUAAACAUGAGUUUGCAGGUAUUAUCAAAUGGAUUGCAUAAUCCAAGUCUUUCCACAAGCAUGCCCCUUGCAGACCCUGGAUACUUUCAUGGAUUCCUACCCUGAACUUCAGAUCCGUGCGUGUUAUCUAUGAUGCUUCAAAAGUUGCAACUGAGAGAUUCUCACGAUUGGGUCGAUAUCAUUAAUCAUUUUGCAAAACAUAUAAGUUGAGGAAGGAUUUGAAUGUCGAAGAUGAUAUUUUGUCUGUGGAUCCUCCAUUCCCAAGAGGAGUUGUUCUUAGCAUUCUCUGUGAUUUAAGGAUCAGUUUGGGGAACUCCACAAACAAGAAUUUUCACAGCUCUUAUGAAGUAUGACUUUGACUGUAGGUUGGCGUUCUAUUUUCUUUUUGGGAUCAGAAAAGACAUAUUUGGGUGCAUUAUACAUAUAUUGCCUCAAGGGUUUCCAGGGACAAUUUAUCCCUGCAUCUCAUAUCUUUCCAUCAUCGACAAAUAUCUCAAAGAGCACCCCUGCGUUAAGCAAGAGUGAAAGACAAAUAUAUUUAUGGGCUGAUGAACUGCAAGAAGCUCUAUGUUGCUGUGCAAAAUGAAUGCCAUUCAUUACGAGUAGCUGCACUGGUCAUUUUCUUUCAACAGAUUAGAAAUUCAAAAGCUUCCAGUAUUGUAGUAAAACCUGAUAUCUGUGGACAUCAUCGGACUUUACUUCCCAAAGAGAGUGGUGUUCUCAUGGAAGCUCCAGAACUGCAACGACUAACACAAAAGAAGAUUGGGAUUCAGUUCUGACAGUUAAUGCGCUCAAUGUAACUUAAGGGCAGCUACAAGAACUGUAAAAACUGAUGAUAAAAUUGAAAAAUCUCUUGAAACGGAUGAUGCUGGGAAGGUUUGGGAAUACUUGAGAAAAUAUUUACGAAGUUAUGGUCAAGCAAAGACAAGAUGAUAGUGUUACAAUCUGAAACAUAGCAGUGAUACUUGGAACCUUUAGUUUAAUGAGUACUUCUUGAAGUGGUGAAGUGCAGGAGCUAGCCAUGGGAGGUACCUGAGAUUACUGCAUUGUACUCCUUGUCUGAGAACACAAAUGCUAAUUGGGUUUGGUACUUACUUAGUACUUGAAUAUCUCAAAGAAAUGAAGAUUCUCUCCAGGUUUUGAUUUCGUUCUUUCAUUGAAAAUCUUACUGGUGGGUAGUCUAAGGAGGCAAGUUUGAAAACUCAUUACAUACAAUAACUUCAGCCAUUUUAACUUUGCAAUUUGUGAUGAUAUAUGUUACUGAUCAGUCAUGUAUGGUUACCACUAGUCUAUUGGACUUCUUUGUUUUAAAAAAAAAGUGGGAAUGUUAUAAAUGGAUUUGUGAGAUUUGAAAUGAAAUAAAAGCAAAAAAAAAAAAAAAAA